GCUAUUUCUUGGGCCGCUCCUGCAGCACAUGGAGGUUCCCAGGCUAGGAGUCGAAUCAGAGCUGUAGCCACCGGCCUUCGCCAGAGCCACAGCAGUGCAGCCCGAGCCGUGUCUGCAACCUACACCACAGCUCACAGCAACGCUGGAUCGUUAACCCACUGAGCAAGGGAAGGGAACGAACCCGAAACCUUGUGGUUCCUAGUUGGAUUCGUUAACCACUGCGCCACGACGGGAACUCCUAAAUUCAGAAUGAUAGCUUUUUGCAAUUGGCAUUGACACCCCUACCUUGCACAUUGCAUGGAGAAACUGAUGGAACAGAGAAAUUAGGUAAUUUUUUUUUCAGUCAGCCACUGAUCUGGGAGUACAACCCAGAUCCACCCAGCUGGGACUGGUUCCUUUUCACUGUACGGUCCUGCCUGAAGAGGCUUAGGAUCCUUGGCGACAUCAUAUAUUGUAUCUCUGUUUUUUUUCUUUUCUUUUUAGGAUUGCACCCUCAGCAUAUGGAAGUUCCCAGGCUUGGGGAUGAAUUGGAGCCUCAGCUGCUGGCCUAUGCCACAGCCACAGCAGCGCAUGAUCUGAGCCCCAUCUGUGACCUACAGCAUAGCUCAUGGCAAUGUCUGAUCCUUAACCCACUGAGCGAGGGCAGGGAUUGAACCUGCAUUCUCACGGAUACUAGUCAGGUUCUCAACCCACUGAGCCACAACAUAUAUUGUAUCUCCAAACUUCUUGUUCUCUGUGAUUACCAAACACUGUUAUUUAUGGGAGUUCCCAUUGUGGCUCAGUGGUUAACGAAUCCGACCAGGAACGAUGAGGUUGAGGGUUCGAUUCCUGGCCUCGCUCAGUGGAUCCAAAAAAACCCCACUGUUAUUUGUUUUUGUCUUUUUGCUAUUUCUUGGGCCGCUCCCACGCCAUAUGGAGGUUCCCAGGCUAGGGGUUCAAUCGGAGCUGUAGCUGCCAGCCUACGCCAGAGCCACAGCCACUCGGGAUCCGAGCCGUGUCUGCAACCUACACCACAGCUCACGGCAACGCCGGAUCCUUAACCCACUGAGCAAGGCCAGGGAUGGAACCCGCAACGUCAUGGUUCCUGGUCAGAUUAACCACUGCGCCACGAUGGGAACUCCUAUUUGUGAAGCUUACUCAGUGGUCCAGGAUGCAAUUUCCCAUCAUCUUGUCUGUGCCUCUGUAUCAUUUACCUAAAUCCAAAAGAUGGGAAACUAAGGACCUUCCCCAAACUCUGGACUAUGAUAGUAGACAUCCCUGGCAGUAAAACAUGUUCUGGAAUCAAGAAAUGUUUGUGAUUUUUACCAGACUGCAGGCCCUUUUGAAUUCCCUACAACUUUAAAUUUCAUAUUCUUAAUGCAAGACUGUGCAAAGCAGUUUAGAAAACAAUACAAAGUUUUAGUAAAUUAAGGCAGUGUUUUGUUUUCUCCCGUCUCCUACUUAUUGCAUGUUCUUUUUCCCUUGCCAAUGAGGAGCAAGCUCAGCCAGAUGCAUACAGGGCUAACCAAUGGGUUCAUGUUCUAGAAGUAGAAUUUUCUUCUCUGAUUCAAACUCCCUAGUAAAAAAUUAUACUUUAGAUAGUUUUCUUAUCGUCACCCCAAAGGCACACAGAAGAAACUAGAGGAGAGUUUUCUGGAAGGACACAUCUGGUUCCUUUGUGUAAAUUUCAGUUGCUGUCUGUAAAAAUGUUUCAGCUUGCAAAAAACCUGGCUCAGUAUCAGACUUCACUUGAAUGUAGCAGUGAUUGGAGAGGAAAGGUCACGUAGGGCAAGAUCCUGUAUAGGAACAUAGUCUUCCACUGAAGUAUCUCCUUGGUCUCACCAAGCCUCAAUUUCCUCUUCACUAAAGAUAAAGUAAAAGAGUGACCUUCACUUUGCUGUACAGCAGAAAUUGGCAGAGCAUUUUGAAUCAACUAUAAUAGAAAAAUAAAAAUCUUAAAGGAGUGGACCUUGAGCUAGUCAGGGUCUUGGAUACAACAUCAAAAGCACAAGUAAUUAAAUAAAGAUAAGUUGGCCCUCAUCAAAAUUCAAACAUUUUGAACUUCAAAAGACACCAUUAACACAUGCAAAACAAACCACAGAUUCGAAGAAAAAAAUCCAAAGCAUAUAUAAUGAUAAAUGUCUUGUGUCUAAAAUACUUAUUUAGCAGUUCCCAUCGUGACUCAAGGAAACAAAUCUUACUAGUAACCAUAAGGACACAGGUUCGAUCCCUGGCCUCGCUCAGUGGGUUAAGGGUCCAGCGUUCCCAUGAGCUGUGGUGUAGGUCACAGAUGUGGUUCGGAUCCCAUGUGGUGUAGGCCAGCAGUUACAGCUCCAGUUCAACCCCUGGCUUGGGAACCUCCACAUGC
RNAcentral lists this long non-coding RNA (2347 nucleotides) under Sus scrofa (pig). RNAcentral describes it as "lncRNA (ENSSSCG00055010782.1)". The record is from RNAcentral. Lineage: Eukaryota; Metazoa; Chordata; Mammalia; Artiodactyla; Suidae.